This 630-nucleotide long non-coding RNA is filed under the name Equus asinus (donkey). RNAcentral's name for it is "lncRNA (ENSEASG00005037058.1)". Lineage: Eukaryota; Metazoa; Chordata; Mammalia; Perissodactyla; Equidae. The record is from RNAcentral.
GCUACACGAAGGCUUCCCCGGGUUGUAACUUUUUGUAUUCUUGAAGCAAUUCUUAGGAGCAUGAAUCGGCACGCCCAGGCUUGCUAAGAUGACCCAAAUGCAAAUGAGAGCCUGACCAAAACAUUUUUAAACUCUGUAUACGGAGUUAUUUUGAAAUCAGGACCAGAGCUAACUCUGCAGGAAGAAGGAAAAAAACUUGAAAAAGAGCAUGUCCACAAAACAUCCCGUGACCUACAGAAGAGAAAACAGACCAUCAAGCUAGAAGGAGAAAAGACUGAUUGAGGGGAAGAUCAGAGUGGAUGAGAGAAUCCACUAUCCUCCAUGGAGACAGACACCGUCAAGGACAAGCACCUGGAUCAUCUCCUCCCCACAAAGAGAUACAGGCUGGUGGGAAAGCUGCUGACCAGCAAGAUCACGGGCUCCCUCCUCUCUGCAAGUAGUCUCAAGGCCAAAGACAAGCUGGUGGGAAAGCUCCAACCAGCAAGGCCAUAUGCUCCCGCCUCCCCUACCUAAAACCCCAAAUAAAAACCCUUCCUUUUAGCUUUUUGGGGAGUUUGGGAUUUCAGCAUUAGCUGCCCUCUCUCCUUGCUCAGAGCUGUGCAAAAAUAAAAUUCCUACUUUCUUCCACUA